ACUUAAAUAGUUUAAAUAAAAUUUUGAUUUGUGGUAUCAAAUAUAUAAGGUUAAUCUUAUUUUAAGUU
This 68-nucleotide transfer RNA is filed under the name Cathayia obliquella. RNAcentral describes it as "tRNA-His". Lineage: Eukaryota; Metazoa; Arthropoda; Insecta; Lepidoptera; Pyralidae. The record is from RNAcentral.